AAGACUUCUUCGAAGAUCCUUAUACUGGUUUAACCAAUAGUAUAAUGAUUCAAAACGAAGCCAAGAUAAAUUUUUUUUCCAAAUUGGCCAAAUGCUUCUAGCUAUUUCCUGAAAAAAAAAAAUUAUGGGAUAGCACUUUAUCAUUCCAGUUUUUUUUUUAAAAAAAAAUUC
RNAcentral lists this small nucleolar RNA (171 nucleotides) under Pachysolen tannophilus NRRL Y-2460. The record is from RNAcentral. Lineage: Eukaryota; Fungi; Ascomycota; Pichiomycetes; Alaninales; Pachysolenaceae.